GCCUCUAUAGAUCAGUGUUAGAUCACCUCUGCUGCGUGAUCGCUCGCAGCCACACUUCGGAGGAGACGUAGGUUCGAGUCCUACUGGAGGGG
Non-coding RNA from Mycena metata, 92 nucleotides. Lineage: Eukaryota; Fungi; Basidiomycota; Agaricomycetes; Agaricales; Mycenaceae. The record is from the annotation of a GenBank genome assembly.